This 255-nucleotide ribosomal RNA is filed under the name uncultured bacterium. RNAcentral describes it as "partial 16S ribosomal RNA". It matches the Rfam family "Bacterial small subunit ribosomal RNA", at positions 524 to 776 of the family's 1533-position model. The record is from RNAcentral.
UACGUAGGCAGCAAGCGUUGUUCGGAAUUACUGGGCGUAAAGAGUGUGUAGGCGGUGCUCUAAGUUCGUUGUGAAAUCUCCCGGCUUAACUGGGAGGGUGCGGCGGAAACUGGAGUGCUUGAGCGCGGGAGAGGAAAGCGGAAGUUCCUGGUGUAGCGGUGAAAUGCGUAGAUAUCAGGAGGAACACCGGUGGCGAAGGCGGCGUUCUGGACUGUUACUGACACUGGAGGAACGAAAGCCAGGGGAGCAAACGGG